RNAcentral lists this long non-coding RNA (1459 nucleotides) under Malus domestica (apple). RNAcentral's name for it is "long non-coding RNA (MDOM_LNC020178)". Lineage: Eukaryota; Viridiplantae; Streptophyta; Magnoliopsida; Rosales; Rosaceae. The record is from RNAcentral.
ACGUCACGCUCACGUGACGGCCAGCAUGCCUUGAUUCUAGGAUCGGGGUGUGUCAUCAUUGGUGUUGAAGAAAAUUCAAAAAUAAAUAAAAAUAAUAGAACUUAAAAUUCUAAAUCUUUAUUAACGAAAACUACUUGCAAUACAGAAUGAAAUAACAUAAAUAAAUACUAAAAUUAAAAUGGUACUAAUUUGACUGAAUCCUAGAUAAAGGCUAGCACAAAAGCUAUGUACUUCGAACAAUAUUUCCGUCUCACUCAUGUGCUUGUGGUUCUACGAUGUUUGCUCGACCAAGAUAUAAUUAUCUAAUUCUACAACCUAAACUAGAUUAUAGAACUCUGGCGAAUUGCUGGAAAAAGAUAAUGUACAAUGGAACUGAGUCUUCAGUUAUAUAGGUUAUUUCAUAUGUUUUCUAAUACCUUUUGAAUGUAUCUGAACCCACACAACUAUUUCCAAACAGUUGUGUCUAUUAAUCAAAACGUUUUUUUUAAUUAAUUUAAUUAAAAAACUUAAUUCGAAAUUAAAAUUAAUAAACUCUGAUUAAUUUUAACAAGCCCAAGGCCCUUGUCUUGAUUAAUUAAUAUUAAUAUUAGGGUAUAAUCAUCACAAGCCUAAUCCACACAAUUAGUGGCCCAAACCUCAAUUCUCAUUCCGAAUGAUCCAAUACCUAAUCACGAAUAAAGGUGACUAACCUAAUAUAAGGACCCCUAGGGAACAUGAGUUCCCCAAUGUGGGACUAAAGGAGCUCAAAACUCCAACAAUUGGAACACUACAAAAAAUCUUCUUUAAAAUGAGGCAAUUAUUAACAAAGCCGCUUUCUUGGCGAAGGAGUUUGAGUGUCUUCAACCAUUUGAGCUCGUAUCAAUCGGGGAAGCAAAAUAGUGAGGUGGUCUCCUUCUCCAGUUGGUAAGUAUAAACUCAAUGCAGAUGCCUCUUCAUACUUGAUACAGAAGAGGUGGGAUUGGCGCAGUCGUUCGUAAUGACCCUUUCUCUAGGCCUCGCCAUCUCACUGAAGCAUGCCGAAAUAAUAAUGGCAGUUCAUCAUGGGUUGUGCUCCGGAGUACCCAAAAAGGUCUUACUUGUAUAAUGGCUGAAUCAUAUUCAAAAGAAGUAAGGCUCGUUUGGAAACUCUUUAAAAAUGACUGAAAGCGCUUGUAGGGAAAAUAUUUUUGUGUUCCAAAAACACUAGUUAUGUACACUUCUAGUGAUUAUCCAGAAUUCACUUGUAUUUUUACUAAAGAUUAAAAAUUAGGGUAAAUUACACUUUCAUACCUCAGGUUUGGAGUCUAUUUCAAUUCCUUACAAUAUCUUCAAAACAUUUCACUUUCAUACCUUAAGUACUAUUUUAUUUCAAAAUAAUACAUCCGUUACAUUUUCCAUUCAUUGAUCCGUUAAAUGCUGACGUGGCUGCCACAUAUAUGCCACAUGGCUGCCAAAUGUCUGCCACGUGGCAAAAAAUAAA